This 221-nucleotide long non-coding RNA is filed under the name Trifolium pratense (red clover). RNAcentral describes it as "long non-coding RNA (TPRA_LNC007287)". The record is from RNAcentral. Lineage: Eukaryota; Viridiplantae; Streptophyta; Magnoliopsida; Fabales; Fabaceae.
AGAAGCCCUAAUUUUGUCUUGAAGCCCAAGUUGUUAUACUACUAUAAAUACGAAGGCAAGCAUAUGGUUUCAAGCAUCUAAAAUCGUGUCUUACAAAGCGUGUGUUUUAGGGAUUUUAGAGUGUUAAUUGUGAGCCUUUCUUGUGUCUCAUUGAUGCAAGCUUAGGACCUGAGUUUAUUGAGUUGUAAGUGUGAACUUCUCCUAAGCUUUGAAGUACGGAG